Molecule: ribosomal RNA, 254 nt
Filed under: Macaria shanghaisaria
Lineage: Eukaryota; Metazoa; Arthropoda; Insecta; Lepidoptera; Geometridae
Description: partial 28S rRNA
Rfam family: Eukaryotic large subunit ribosomal RNA
Source: RNAcentral
GAACAGGAAAUAGCCCAGCACUGAAUCCCGCCGUUGUCACGGCGGCGGGAGAUGUGGUGUUCGGGAGGUUCCGCUUUCUCGUCGUCGCCUCCUCCUGUCCAAGUUCGUCUUGAACGGGGCCGUUUUCCCGUAGAGGGUGCCAGGCCCGUAGCGACGGAGGACGGCGGCGAGAGGGACUCUCCUCAGAGUCGGGUUGCUUGAGAGUGCAGCCCUAAGUGGGUGGUAAACUCCAUCUAAGGCUAAAUAUUACCGCG